CGUAUAUAUUCAAGAACAGCUGCAGCUGCAUUCCUACGCCAUAUAGUCCACUUUCUCAAUUAAAUCGAUUUUAAUCUCACUAAUUCGUGUCUAAUUCGCUUCUGCGAAGUACUUCUUCCUCCUAAUUAAUAAAAUUAUAUUGCGUGAAAUCACAAAACUUUACAAACUCGAAUGAAUUCUCCAACACAAACGAACUACUUUGUGCACCGACGCGGAGGAAUACACUUAAAAAACGGUGACUAAUAGGAACAUAAAGAAAGUCAUUCUUGCUGAUUCACUCGUCGGAAGAAGACAUCUUUGAACGCGUUCUCGUACACACGUGGAAGAGCGAAGGAUCUGGAAAAAGGGUCUCGAAAAAGGAUCAAUUCGUUCUCACAGCAAGCAAACUAUAUCGUCAGACGCGAGCCAAUGCUAGACACAGUCUCUUACCAUUUGAGAUGGCAACUGAUGCAGAUGGAUGGAAAGAAUGGAUAAAGUUGGAUAAAAAGAGAGAAAACAAAACUAAGUUACCAUAAAUCAGACGCAAGCCUUAUCUUCACAGGAUUUAUCCUCGCAUAUUUUGACUAUUGAUGUUAUUUAUGCUGUUUAGGGUCAGGAUUAGGAUUGAUAUAAUAAAAACAAAGGAUCUCAUAAUUAUGAUAAACCAAAAACCAUAUUGUGAUAUUAAUUCUUAUCAUUCACUUAUCCUUUUCAGCCUGGCAUCCUGGAAAAUUCAUUUUAUUGUAGGUGGGUGGAUAUUGGCUGCUCAUAAAGAUGACAUCGUCAUUAUUGGUAACUUUAGAAGCAUAUUUAAGUUAUUAUAAGGGAAAGAAAGUGAGUUAAAAAAAUGAAAUAUAAUUUGCAAUUUAAUGGAAAGAAAAGUUUUGUUUCUAGAGAUCGAUUGAGCAUUCAAGGUACAAAAAAAAUAUCUCCCUGGAAUUUCGAUUUUCUUUGAAUAAUGUAGUUCUAUUGAUUUGGAGAUAUAUUUUAAAUAAAAUAAUUUAUGCAAGCAUGCAAAACAAUUUA
Molecule: long non-coding RNA, 1005 nt
Organism: Nylanderia fulva
Lineage: Eukaryota; Metazoa; Arthropoda; Insecta; Hymenoptera; Formicidae
Source: RefSeq, a predicted model, not a curated record